RNAcentral lists this transfer RNA (94 nucleotides) under Paenibacillus sp. J22TS3. RNAcentral describes it as "tRNA-Lys". The record is from RNAcentral. Lineage: Bacteria; Bacillati; Bacillota; Bacilli; Caryophanales; Paenibacillaceae.
GGCUUUGUGAGGCGCUGGGAUGGGCUACUUCGAGCUUAUCGAGCAAUGACAACACGCUGGGCGUUAUGGCAGGUUCGACUCCUGCAGCAAGCCU